This 1056-nucleotide long non-coding RNA is filed under the name Mytilus galloprovincialis (Mediterranean mussel). The record is from RNAcentral. Lineage: Eukaryota; Metazoa; Mollusca; Bivalvia; Mytilida; Mytilidae.
CUCUUUAAUUAAGUCUCCCAAACAAAGUUUGGAGACUUAUUGUUUUUGCUCAGUUCUUAUUAUUUUUAUUAUUCUUCUUCUUUUUCUUUUUCUUUUUCUUCCGCCACUUUAAAAAAUGAACUUGUCCGCAGCGUUUCUCCAAAACCACUUGUCAGAUUUACUUAGGGUUUCAUAAAAUGGUAGACUAAUAUGUCUAGGUGAGCCAUCAAUCUUUCGUUUGUGCAUUGGGGUCUAUUAAGGGGUAUUUUGGGGGGUAGAAAGCAGGGAGGGUUUUACUAUAGAACCCUAUGGGAUUUUAUUUUCAAAAUUUUUUAAAUGAAUAUAACUUGAAAACUAUAAGUGAUAGAUACAUACAGUCUUCAGAAAUGAUAAUAGGACAAUAAAAUAAUUCACAUGAAAUAUAGGGGGAUGCCCUGGGGGGUCAUCCCCACCCCCUUCAAUUUGAGAAUGUUGCUAUUAUCUUGUAAACAGUCCAGAUCCCACCCCUAAACCAUAUAUAUUCUUCUUGUGGGGGACAAUAAAACAAAUCAAAUGAAAUAAAAAAGAAGUCCCUGGGGGUCACCCACCCCCCUUGUUGGAAAACUUUUAAACGGUCCAGAUCCCCACCCCUAAACCAUAUAUAUUCUUGUAGGGGACAAUAAGACAAAUCAAAUGAAAUAAAAAGGAAGUCCCUAGGGGGUCACCCCACCCCUUCUUGUUUGAAAACUUGUAAACGGUCCAGAUCCCCACCCCUAAACCAUAUAUAUUCUUGUAGGGGACAAUGAAACAAAUCACAUGUAAUUAGAUGGAAGUUCCUGGGGGUCACCCCUACCCCGUUCAAUUUGAGAAUGUACUAUUAUCUUGUAAACAGUCCAGAUCCCCACCCCUAAACCAUAUAUAUUCUUGUAGGGGACAAUAAAACAAAUCAAAUGAAAUAAAAGGGAAGUCCCUAGGGGGUCACCCCACCCCCUCUAGGUUGACAACUUGUAAACGGUCCAGAUCCCCACCCCUAAACCAUAUAUAUUCUUGUAGGGGACAAUAAAACAAAUCAAAUGAAAUAAAAGGGAAGUCCAAAGG